AAUGAACGUUGGCGGCAUGGAUUAGGCAUGCAAGUCGGGGGAAUCCCAGCAAUGGGGGAACCGGCGUAAGGGGCAGUAAGGCAUGGGUACCUACCUUGGGGUUCGGGAUAGCCAUCAGAGAUGGUGGGUAAUACCGGAUGACGUCGUGAGACCAAAGAUUUAUCGCCCUUAGAGGGGCCCAUGCGAUAUUAGCUAGUUGGUGGGGUAACGGCCCACCAAGGCGAAGAUGUCUAGCGGGUGUGAGAGCACGACCCGCGCCACUCGCACUGAGACACUGGCGAGACACCUACGGGUGGCUGCAGUCGAGGAUCUUCGGCAAUGAGCGCAAGCUUGACCGAGCGAUGCCGCGUGAGCGAUGAAGGCCUUCGGGUUGUAAAGCUCUUUAGUGGGGGAGAAAAGCCGCAAGGUGUGAUCUAUCCCAAAAAUAAGCACGGGCUAAGUUCGUGCCAGCAGCCGCGGUAA
Molecule: ribosomal RNA, 462 nt
Filed under: uncultured bacterium
Lineage: Bacteria
Description: partial 16S ribosomal RNA
Rfam family: Bacterial small subunit ribosomal RNA
Source: RNAcentral